This 251-nucleotide ribosomal RNA is filed under the name uncultured bacterium. RNAcentral describes it as "partial 16S ribosomal RNA". It matches the Rfam family "Bacterial small subunit ribosomal RNA", at positions 524 to 775 of the family's 1533-position model. The record is from RNAcentral.
UACGGAGGGUGCAAGCGUUAAUCGGAAUUACUGGGCGUAAAGCGUGCGCAGGCGGUGAUGUAAGACAGGUGUGAAAUCCCCGGGCUCAACCUGGGAACUGCAUUUGUGACUGCAUGGCUAGAGUGCGGCAGAGGGGGAUGGAAUUCCGCGUGUAGCAGUGAAAUGCGUAGAUAUCCGGAAGAACACCAAAGGCGAAGGCACAUCCUGGGAAGUACCUGACGCUCAGAUGCGAAAGCCAGGGGAGCGAACGG